This 497-nucleotide ribosomal RNA is filed under the name uncultured bacterium. RNAcentral describes it as "partial 16S ribosomal RNA". It matches the Rfam family "Bacterial small subunit ribosomal RNA", at positions 28 to 507 of the family's 1533-position model. The record is from RNAcentral.
GAUGAACGCUGGCGGCGUGCCUAAUACAUGCAAGUCGAGCGAACAGGCGAGGAGCUUGCUCCUCUGACGUUAGCGGCGGACGGGUGAGUAACACGUGGAUAACCUACCUAUAAGACUGGGAUAACUUCGGGAAACCGGAGCUAAUACCGGAUAAUAUAUUGAACCGCAUGGUUCAAUAGUGAAAGACGGUUUUGCUGUCACUUAUAGAUGGAUCCGCGCCGCAUUAGCUAGUUGGUAAGGUAACGGCUUACCAAGGCAACGAUGCGUAGCCGACCUGAGAGGGUGAUCGGCCACACUGGAACUGAGACACGGUCCAGACUCCUACGGGAGGCAGCAGUAGGGAAUCUUCCGCAAUGGGCGAAAGCUUGACGGAGCAACGCCGCGUGAAUGAUGAAGGUCUUCGGAUCGUAAAACUCUGUUAUUAGGGAAGAACAAAUGUGUAAGUAACUAUGCACGUCUUGACGGUACCUAAUCAGAAAGCCACGGCUAACUACGUG